This 570-nucleotide ribosomal RNA is filed under the name uncultured bacterium. RNAcentral's name for it is "bacterial SSU rRNA". It matches the Rfam family "Bacterial small subunit ribosomal RNA", at positions 74 to 641 of the family's 1533-position model. The record is from RNAcentral.
AUCUAGCAAUAGAUUGCUGACGACCGGCGCACGGGUGAGUAACACGUAUCCAACCUGCCGAUAACUCGGGGAUAGCCUUUCGAAAGAAAGAUUAAUACCCGAUGGUAUAAUAAAACCGCAUGGUUUUGUUAUUAAAGAAUUUCGGUUAUCGAUGGGGAUGCGUUCCAUUAGGCAGUUGGUGAGGUAACGGCUCACCAAACCUUCGAUGGAUAGGGGUUCUGAGAGGAAGGUCCCCCACAUUGGAACUGAGACACGGUCCAAACUCCUACGGGAGGCAGCAGUGAGGAAUAUUGGUCAAUGGGCGUAGGCCUGAACCAGCCAAGUAGCGUGAAGGAUGACUGCCCUAUGGGUUGUAAACUUCUUUUAUAUGGGAAUAAAGCUUUCCACGUGUGGAAUUUUGUAUGUACCAUAUGAAUAAGGAUCGGCUAACUCCGUGCCAGCAGCCGCGGUAAUACGGAGGAUCCGAGCGUUAUCCGGAUUUAUUGGGUUUAAAGGGAGCGUAGGUGGACAGUUAAGUCAGUUGUGAAAGUUUGCGGCUCAACCGUAAAAUUGCAGUUGAUACUGGCUGUC